GAAGGGAUUCUGUUACAUGUGAUGGUUGAAGGGAUCAAUUCAGUUGGGGAAAAAUGACAGGUUGGAGUAAUGGAGAUUGGUUUCUGUUCUUGUUGAUUGAGAGUGAUGUGUGAGGGAAUAGGUGAAUUCAGGGUAGUGUGUGAGCUGAACGAUAGAUCUGUUGGAGUUGGUUCAUUGGGUCAGGAUGGAAAAAAAAAAUCGUUGGUUGGGGUCAUCAGGUUUGGUAUAACAGAAUGAUGGAAUCUGUGUGCGUGUGAGAAAAGCCCCUCCUUCCAUUGCACGGGUUGAAGAUCAUAUUCGUUAAUCCCUUGUGGAUGAAAAAAGAAUAGAUCAAUCAACGUGUCAACAACCAAAAAAACCGUUGGAUCCUGCAUCAGGAAACCCAAAUUUUAUGAUGUCGUUGGGAGGGGAAUUAUAUUCUGAUGCCUCCAUCGUGGUGUGAAAAAGUGUGUGUAUCAUCAUGGGUGAUGUUUGUUGGGGUGGUUACCCCUGUGUGUGGACUGUGCACCCCUCCAAAUGGAAAGAGCCCUUACUCUUCUUUUUUCAAGCUUUUAUCUUUUUCUCCUUUUCUCUGCUUUCUUUUCUCUCUUUUUUUUUCUUUUCUUUUUCUUUUCUUCUCUUUUUUUUCUUUUCUUUUUCUUUUCUUUUUUUUCUUUUUUCUUUUUUC
Molecule: long non-coding RNA, 667 nt
Filed under: Vigna radiata
Lineage: Eukaryota; Viridiplantae; Streptophyta; Magnoliopsida; Fabales; Fabaceae
Description: long non-coding RNA (VRAD_LNC015085)
Source: RNAcentral